Molecule: long non-coding RNA, 904 nt
Filed under: Homo sapiens (human)
Lineage: Eukaryota; Metazoa; Chordata; Mammalia; Primates; Hominidae
Description: HSALNT0350710
Source: RNAcentral
GCUGGUCUCUGCCCUUCUGAUAAGUGCUUUGCGGUCAGGCCACUAGUCAGUGUCCCGUGGGGUUUGCAGUAGCAGCAUCCCCCUCCCUGGCCUCAAAGUCCAUCCACUGCGAUAGGUUUGCUUAUGUCACGUUCACAAGCCACCCCAGCGUCUCCAGCUUAAAGCCACAGCUUGUUCUCACUCGCACUGCAUGGCAGGGGUUGGCUGAGUUUCUCUCUUCCGUCUUUGCUUCAGGACCCAGGCUGAUGGAAUGACUGCUGCCUAGAACAUUGCAGGUCUUCCCAGAUGAGACACAGAGGCUCUGGAGGGUCGUGCAAUAAUACUGCCUCACCGGAAGCUGAGCCUGGUACACGCAGAGCCCACAGGACACCCACAAGAGUCACAUACCUGCCAUUGACCACCUCUGGGCUUUUAAUACCGAAACUUCAAAGAACUUAUGUGUCUCUCAUUACACUUGCUAGCAAUAUUUAUACAGGAACAUGUUGUAUUUAUAUCCCCAAAAAUCAGUAAGAGAAUUUUAACAAAACCAUGUAUGGGAAAAGUCUUAAGUCACAUUUCAGAAACAAUGUGUAGUGGUUGUAAUAACAUGGGGGCAUUUUGCAAAGUUUGAGAACCAACAAAGAGGCGUGCGCACAGCCAGGGUGGGGCUGGGGCUCCUGCAGAGAGAUUUGCUCCACCCUGCGUUCAGGACGCCACCUGCACGAAAUGUUAAGUUCACCUGCGUGUCGUGUGUGUUACUGGCAUACACGCUUCCCUGGUUUAUAGUAACAUUGUAAUUUUUCUCAUUUUUUAAAAGUAAUCCCAGCACUUUGGGAGGCCGAGGCGGGCGGAUCACGAGGUCAGGAGAUCGAGACCAUCCUGGCUAACACGGUGAAACCCCGUCUCUCCUAAAAAUACAAAAAAU